Long non-coding RNA from Telopea speciosissima, 185 nucleotides. RefSeq lists it as uncharacterized. The record is from RefSeq and is a predicted model, not a curated record. NCBI's taxonomy places the organism in Eukaryota, Viridiplantae, Streptophyta, Magnoliopsida, Proteales, Proteaceae. The transcript is spliced from 3 exons.
UGUAACCUGUAAAAGGCAGAAAGAGAUAUGGUGUUGGAUUGCGGGUUUCUUUACAUCAACACUCGAAUUGCAUUCAUUAUACGUUUCAAGCUUUCUUGGAAAUUCUUUUGGAAAUGAACUGGGUUUCACAUACACAAAUUGCAUUCAUUGUACUUCCUAGUGUGGAUUUGAGAGAGAGAGAGAGA